GGACCAUUAGCUCAAUUGGUCAGAGCACCCGGCUCAUAACCGGAUGGUUGCAGGUUCGAACCCUGCAUGGUCCA
This 74-nucleotide transfer RNA is filed under the name Siphoviridae sp. ctHip2. RNAcentral's name for it is "tRNA-Met". It matches the Rfam family "tRNA". From Rfam's summary of the family: Transfer RNA (tRNA) molecules are approximately 80 nucleotides in length. Their secondary structure includes four short double-helical elements and three loops (D, anti-codon, and T loops). The record is from RNAcentral. Lineage: Duplodnaviria; Heunggongvirae; Uroviricota; Caudoviricetes.